This 895-nucleotide long non-coding RNA is filed under the name Parus major (Great Tit). RNAcentral describes it as "lncRNA (ENSPMJG00000015504.1)". Lineage: Eukaryota; Metazoa; Chordata; Aves; Passeriformes; Paridae. The record is from RNAcentral.
UACAUCUCUAAAUUCAAAGAAGCAGGUAUUUGUAUAUGUCACUUUAUUUACUUGGACUGGCUUUGACACUGGGUGUCUUCCACAGCAAAGUUCAGAAGGAGCUCUGCCUUUGCUGCUCCCAUGAAGCCUGUGUCCAUGGAAAUAACACAAUAUGAUUGAUCUCCUUUGCAUAAACUCCAGCAUGGCUGAAUCCAAGGAACAGUGGAGACCCAGGUGCUGAGGAAAAAGGAAGAGACUAAGAAAAGAGAUGGAAGAACUCAUAAACAAGAUUGCUCAUGUUGGAUUCUGGAUGAACAGCAAGAUCCAGUUUUCACUGCUGAUGGAAAUUUUUAAACAGCAAGAAUAUAAAUCUGUGAAGAGGGAAACAUACAAAGCUACAAGAUGGAGAAAAGAGAAAGCAUCUGGGAAUACAAGAACACUUACUACUUUUAGUUACUGGUAUUUAAAAUCUUCAAUUCCCAGAAAUGAUGCUUCCAAACAUUUCAUGCGGCAUGUAUUUCAUCUGCUGGUAAGCACAGAGUUGCCUGGUUGCCCUAUAACAGAGAAAACCUUCUAUUUUGUGAUUUUCAUUGCUACUAGGGCUUCAGGUAUUUUUCACAGAUUGAAGAGAGAGUCUACAGAGCACUAAAUUACUCGUUUUCUUUUUCAUUCAAGGUUCAAAUGCUUGUCUUCAAUGGGUAAUUGUAUGUCAAGAAAAAAUUGAAGGGAAAGGAGGAGGAAUAUAAACUGAAAAUAUUUGCUGUGAAACAUCCAAAAUUAUACCAAGACUUAGUAACCUACUGUCCAUUUUAAAUUAUGAAUGCCAUUAUUUUUCUAAUGCGGUUGAUAAGGUGCUAAAGUAUUGUCUUGUUGUGUCUGCUGGCAACUGUAGGAUAAUAUCACAACACAAAAGCAC